Molecule: ribosomal RNA, 440 nt
Filed under: uncultured bacterium
Lineage: Bacteria
Description: partial 16S ribosomal RNA
Rfam family: Bacterial small subunit ribosomal RNA
Source: RNAcentral
CCUACGGGAGGCAGCAGUGGGGAAUAUUGCACAAUGGGGGAAACCCUGAUGCAGCGACGCCGCGUGAGUGAAGAAGUAUCUCGGUAUGUUAAGCCCCAUCAGUAGGGAAGAAAAUGACGGUACCUGUCUAAGAAGCCCCGGCUAACUACGUGCCAGCAGCCGCGGUAAUACGGAGGGGGCAAGCGUUAUCCGGAUUUACUGGGUGUAAAGGGAGCGUAGACGGCAGCGCAAGUCUGGAGGGAAAUCCCAGGGCUUAACCAUGGAACUGCUUUGGAAACUGUGCAGCUGGAGUGCAGGAGAGGUAAGCGGAAUUCCUGGUGUAGCGGUGAAAUGCGUAGAUAUUAGGAGGAACACCAGUGGCGAAGGCGGCUUACUGGACUGUAACUGACGUUGAGGCACGAAAGCGUGGGGAGCGAACAGGAUUAAAUACCCCAGUAGUC